This 674-nucleotide long non-coding RNA is filed under the name Homo sapiens (human). Its description in RNAcentral is "HSALNT0003273". The record is from RNAcentral. Lineage: Eukaryota; Metazoa; Chordata; Mammalia; Primates; Hominidae.
CGAGAGUCUCCCAAGAGGCUGCAGAACGUCAGAACAUCUCUGGAGCACUAUUCAGUGAGCAACAGGAGAGUUAAAGAUUUGUCCACCAGUGAGAACACGUGUGCAUUACAGUGGAGGAGCUUCUGAACGCCUUGCUUUACUCAGGGAUUCCAGAGUCCCAGCAGGGGCCGGAGGAAGAAGAACAGACUCCUAGAGAGGAAGAAACUUUGACCUCAAAAAUGAAGAAACAGAGGACCAAAAGGAAGCUCUUGACCAAGAUUCUUAGGCAGAUGGAGACAGGGUUGGGUUUAGCAUUGGUCACACAGCAGAUGGAGACAGGGCUGGGUCUAGUGUUGGUCACACAGCAGAUAGUCAGGUUGCCUGACCCGAAUUCCUGAGUUCUUCCCCCACACCAGCAACCUGGAACUUCUAGAAAAAGCCCAUGAACACGCAAAUGAACACAACAGUGAGAAACCUCUCUUGGCAAAACAUUAUAAGCUGGCUGAGACCUAGGAUUGACUAGGAUGUUAGGAAAAGGAUAGUCUCAUAUAUCCUACCGGUAGGAAGUUGGUUCAGCCACCAUGGAGAGCGACUUGCAGUAUCUGUAGUAUCUGUUAAAUUUUAAAAUGCACACACCCCGCCAGGAGCAGUGGUUCAGGCCUGUAAUCCCAGCACUUUGGGAGGCCAAGGCAGGC